AAUACAGGUUGCUCAGUUAAAUUUGAAUUUCAAACAACAAAGAAAUUUUGUUAUCAUAAGUCUAUCCCAUGCAACAUUUGGGAUAUACUUAUACUAAAAAUUUAUUUGUUUUUCAUCUGGAAUUGGGAUUUUAAUUGGGCAUCCUGUAUUUU
This 152-nucleotide microRNA precursor is filed under the name Mustela putorius furo (domestic ferret). Its description in RNAcentral is "miRNA (ENSMPUG00000023796.1)". Lineage: Eukaryota; Metazoa; Chordata; Mammalia; Carnivora; Mustelidae. The record is from RNAcentral.